UACACUAGGGGGCGCCUCAAUCACAGCGUGUUUCGGAAGUCUUCAUCUGCGUACCAGGAUGUCACAAGGCGCUAAGUUUUAACCAUAAGUGUUAAAUGAUAUGACAAAUUAUCUCCGGAAAAGAAGCUCACUCUCCAUAACUUUUAAAUAUAGAUAGAGGUUUGAAAACAACUAACUCGAAUUUUAACUCUAUAUAAAAUUACAGCGGGAGGCUGCCGAGCGGCUUUUGAACACGAUGGUGUUUGUGUAACGUUGAGCUAGCAUGCUAAGCUAAGUGCUAACCCAAGCUCAGUUAAUGUUGGAGCGAUAGAGACUGGCUCCGGUGGACAUGGCAGCGGGAACAGGCGGAUCUUUGGAAGCCCAACUGGACAAGAGGUUCAGAGGUCUGACCAACACGAUGGAUUCUAUUCAGGGACUGUCAGCCUGGUGCAUAGACAACAAGAAGUACCACAGCCUCAUUGUGCGCCAGUGGAUGAAAUGUUUGAGGAAAUCUAAUGCCUCCCACAGACUGAACCUGAUGUAUCUCGCCAACGAUGUCAUUCAGAAUUGCAAAAGGAAGAACGCCAUCAAUUACCGCACAGCGUUUGCUGAGGUGUUGCCAGACGCCUUCCAGCUGGUCAAACUUGAGAGUGACCACAAGAUGAUUAAAUCCGUGGAGAGGAUUCUAUCCAUCUGGGAGGAGAGGGAUGUAUAUUCAGGGACGCUCGUUACUGAUCUCAGGAAUAUCCUGGUUAAAGAAGAGUCACCUCCUGAGACACCAGUGGAGCAAAAAACUCCAGUUGAGUCUAAAGCUGAUCUGCGAUCCAAAGUUGUUGCAGAGUUUGUGCCUCAGGCUUUUAUAGAGCAGCUGACCAAGUACAAGAGAUCUCUGGAUGAGGUUGACCUCAGAGAAAAACAGCUAGCUACCAUGAGGGUUGACAUUUUCAGCUCUGACGCUCUCCGGAAACUCAAAGAUAAAGCAGGAGGAAAGAAGUUCUCCAGAGACUUUGAGGAGGGAAGUGCUCAACUGCAGGAGUUUGUUAAAUUUUUUGAGAAACAAAGCAAAACCGGCCCCACACUUCUUGAGGCUCUUGGGAAUGCAGAUAUCUUCUACGAGAUGCAGUACAAAGAGGUCAAGAUUGUUGCCAAUGCCUACCAAACAUUCGCAAACCGGGUUUCCCACCUCAAACGUAAGCUUGACGCUCUGAAGGCCACUUUACCAGAUCUGGACGAGUCCCCUAUCCCCUCGCCUACUGCAGACGCUCCGUCUCCAACAGGCUCAGAGUCCCCUUUUCACGAACUGGAGUUGGCACACCCUGAUCCAGACCUCGAUGGUUCUGCUAUGGAUGACGACGCAGAGCCACCAGCCCCGAGUCCUCUGUCCUCACUAGGAGCGUCACCGAAACACGAUGAGGCCAUCGGGGAGAACGACAACCGUGAAGUGGAGGACAUGGAGCUCUCUGAGGAGGAAAUGGACAGCGGUGGCAUCAUAGUUGAGGAGCAGAAGGAAUCCUUCUCCCAACCAGUGGUGUCCGCUCCAAUCCCUUUGAAGAGUGGGGCAUCAUUAGCAACAGAGCCGCUCAUCCCACAGGUCGUUCCCCCUGCAGCUCUACCUGCAGCCGUUCCCUUAGAAGUUCCUGCGACAGUUCCUGCAAACUUCUUUACAACUGUUUCUUCAGCUGCUCCUGCAGAUGUUUCCACGAACAUCCUUUCAACUGUUCCUGCAGCAGCUGCUGCAGCUCCUCCUGCAACUCUUCCUGCGGCUGCCUUGAAAAGUGUUGAUUUGGGCAAAAUUGGCUCCAUCCUCAACAGCUUGAGCCCUGUCAUAAAGACUACAGCAGCAGUAGUGGAAGAACGUCCCACAGCUCCACCAUUGAUGCCCAAACCCACUGCUCCUUUGGCCCCACAGGACGCCAGUUCACUGGUGAACCUCCUCUCCAAGGUGGAUGUGAGUCCUGCAGACCUGCUCAGUGCUCUGUCCAAAGUUCAGAGCCAAAGCAGCUUAAAGGGUACCACUCCUCUCCUAUCCCCAAAUACUGUCCCAGACCCUUUCACUCCAGGCAAGAUUACUUCCUCUCCCUUAUCCUCAUCUGCUUCAGCAGCAUCUUCUCAGAGCAUUGCUCUUUCUUUUCCAGCACCUGUGCAUUCUUCAUCAAAAUCUGCUGCACAGCAAAACUCUCAAGCAGCCCCCAAAACCUCAAACAAAGCCUCUGCGCUGGUGCAAGCUCUGCACAGAGAUAUGGAUUUGAGUACAGAUCCAGAACCAUUUAUUUCUUCUUCAAGCUUAGAAUCUAAAAUCCACAGCUUCCUACAGGGGAACCCUGCGUUCAGUGCGUUUGACCAGAGGUUUCCAACAAACGCAUCAGUGAGAGGGGAGCGUUUUAGCCCAGUAACUGGCACAGACAACCAGGAGGGAACGCCAGUCAGAGACGAGGGAGGAGGCACUCCAACUCAAGAUGAGAUCAUGGACAAGGCAGUGGCGGUCCCGUUCGGUUCCAGCAACAAUCAGUCAUCUGUCAAUGAAGCAGCCAAAACUGCUCCAGUAGCGUUUGAGAAUAACAAGCAGAAGAACCCCAACAAUCCCCAACAUCCAGCACCCCUUCUGCAAGGCUUUGCUCAAAAUGGGCAGAUCUUCCAGCCCUUCCCAUUUGGGAAGCCGGAGAUGUUAGAGAGUGGGAUUUCUGCACCAGCUUCACAUUACCAACAUGUGGCCAUGCAUCCAGGAGGACCUGCGUUUGGAGAAGGAGUUCCAGGCAGUGCCAGUAGCUCACAGACAAUCGAGGGCUUUCAGAGGGCAAAUGAACAGAGUUGGUUUGGAGAUGCUCACCCUGAGGGGAGCUCUCAGCAGCCCAGUGGCUACAACAUGUUAGUGCCAGGAGUUAGAGAAAACAAAACAACGGGACUGUUUCCCUACCAAACAGAGCAAACUCGGGAACAUCACGAGUUUGUCUCCCAGCAGGGGCCUUCUGCAGCCUCCAAUUUCUUUAGAUGCUCACUUCCUCCUGUCCCAAAGGUACCGCCCCCUCCUCCUAGUUUUGAUCCCCCGGUGACAUCCCCAGCUGGUGGUCUGAUGAACCCCCCACAGCAGGAGCCUGUACACAACACAGCUGCUGGGGGUGGGGUCAGGGGCAGAGGUGAUAGCCUCAUCAGCAGCAUGGUGGUUCAUGACCAUCAGCAUACAUCGUCGUUGCAUCCAGAUGAUGUGUUCCACGACCCGCAUCACCCACAGCAACAUCAGGAGUUUCAUCCUCAUCCGGACGAUAUGCGUUACCACGACGAUCUGGGACAACCUGAUGCCCAUUUCCUCCAAGAUGAUCCCUACUACCCGCCCGAUGAUCCAUAUUUCAGACCGGGUAGUCCUCCUCACCCUUAUCCUAGGGGCCGAGGGCACUUCUCUCCCCCGCUCUCACCUUCAAGGGACCCUUACUUUGCCCAUGAGCAGCACAAUCCCCCUCCUCCUCGUCAGUAUGCGCCAAGGCGGCCGCCACCUCCUCGUCAUGAAAUGCGUCACCCUGGCCAGCGGCCCCCUCCGCCCCGACCCCCGCACUUAGCCCGCCAUCCACACCCCAGAGGGCCGCCUCGCCCGCCUUUCCCUCGUUUUAACGGCCCUGAUCCGAGGUUUAGAGGCAAAUGGCCAGGACCGAGAGGAGGGGGUCCAAUGUUCCCUCCGAAAAGACCCUUCCUACCCCCGCGGUACUGACAGCUCCGUCUUGAGUUCAGGAGGGGCAGGUUCUAGCUAGUCAAGAGUGUUAAAGUCCACGCUAUGUUAAAGCUGUGCAGAUCCCAGUGGGCAUCAAAGGACAGUUAUACAGACAGGGAAAAUGGAGGUGAAGAAGGAAAAACGGACAAAAAGCGUAAAGAUCCCGGGAGGCUCAGAAAAGGUUGCUGAGUGAAGACGGAAGAUUAAAGAAAAUGAGAGGGAUCCAGAGCCACUUUGAUGUGUGUGAUGUGAUGGAAAAGGAAAAGAAAACCUCCGCUGUGCCCCGUUAGCUGAUGGAAGUGAGGACUUCUUUGAAUCCUGCUCCGCUCCUGGUGAUGAUGGCUCUUCACGGUCUGUAAAUGAAUGCUAAGAACCACAGCAGCAAGUUAUUUACAUCAACUCAACCUGCUGUGUUUGACGGGAGAGAAAUGUCGAGUAUGGCCCGAAGAACACCUUCCCCGCAGUCAAGCAAAGGCGGUGGUAGCAUCAUGCUUUGGGACAGAUUUUGUUCUAAGAGUACAUGGUGACCUCGCAGCUUCCAAGCGCCAACAGACGAGGCUGUUUACUGUUAAAUGUUGUUGGAGAGCCUUCUUCCCUCAACCAGAACACUGUGGAUGGGUCUACUACCAUGGGAAAAACAGCGGUGAGACAAAAAAGGAGUGCCUUAAGAAGGAUCACAUUAGGCUCAUGGAGCAGCCUAGCUACUCUAAGCUCUUUGGUGAGGGAGCAUAAGGUUCGAGUUGCCAAGUGGCAUCUAAGAGACCCAGAGGAUUUAGACAGUUUAAGAACAGAAGAGUGGGCCAAAAUGCCUCCUGAGAUGUGUGCAAACCUGUUGAUCAACUGCAAGAAACCUUCUUAGCAAUGAUGGUUUCUAAACCAAGUUCUAAAUCAUGUCCUGGAUGGAUCAAAGGCUUAUUUCACAGUGACAUUCAAAUCAUUGUUUUACUUUUUGUUUCAGCUGGAUCUAGUAUGUUCAUAUUAAAAUAAAACUACCAUGAAAAUUCAA
Girardinichthys multiradiatus is the source of this 4685-nucleotide RNA transcript. It is a transcript of the gene named regulation of nuclear pre-mRNA domain containing 2a, with no coding region annotated. NCBI's taxonomy places the organism in Eukaryota, Metazoa, Chordata, Actinopteri, Cyprinodontiformes, Goodeidae. The record is from RefSeq and is a predicted model, not a curated record. The transcript is spliced from 12 exons.